Molecule: long non-coding RNA, 679 nt
Organism: Malaclemys terrapin pileata
Lineage: Eukaryota; Metazoa; Chordata; Testudines; Emydidae
Exons: 3
Source: RefSeq, a predicted model, not a curated record
ACCAGCAGGCAGUUCUCUGCGGAGUAGAUUCACCCCCAUGUCUCCGGAGCACAGAGAUGGGCAGGGGACAAUCUCCCACUGCUGGGGGCUCUGUGGAUUUCCUUAGCUCUGUGGAUUUUGCUGUGUGGAUUCCCCCGACCUGAGGGCUGGCUCUGACCACACCGGGAAAUGAUGCUGAAGAGGGAAAGGGAGCUGGGGCUGCAGCUGGAGCCCCUGCCCCGCACAUGGGGCGUGAGUGGACUGGACAGGAGGGAGUGCAGAAUUUCAUGCUGCGCUAUAGAGAGAUCCCUUACCGCUGGAUUGGCCUCCAGAAGGAACAGGGCGAGGGCCAGCCCUGGAAGUGGACCAACGGUACCAUAUUCAACAACCUUGACAACAAAGAGGUGUUCUUACACCUGGAAAAGACUAUAAAAGGCUGAUGCCUCAUCUCCAUCUUGUCUUCAAUCCUGCUUCUUACCUCUGGAGGGACUUUGCUACAAGCUGAAGCUCUGUACAGAGGACUGAUGACCCUUCCCAGCUGGGGAUGCACUCCAGAGACUUGAUUUAAACCUGCAGUUUAUUCUAUCACUGCUACAAGCCUGAACCAAGAACUUUGCCAUUACUGUAUGUAAUUGAUUCCAUUUAACCAAUUCUAACUCUCAUCUCUAUCUUUUUCCUUUUAUGAAUAAACCUUUAGAUU